AUUGAACGCUGGCGGCAGGCUUAACACAUGCAAGUCGAGCGGGGGAGGUUGCUUCGGUAACUGACCUAGCGGCGGACGGGUGAGUAAUACUUAGGAAUCUGCCUAUUAAUGGGGGACAACAUCUCGAAAGGGAUGCUAAUACCGCAUAUGCCCUACGGGGGAAAGCAGGGGAUCACUUGUGACCUUGCGUUAAUAGAUGAGCCUAAGUCGGAUUAGCUAGUUGGUGGGGUAAAGGCCUACCAAGGCGACGAUCUGUGGCGGGUCUGAGAGGAUGAUCCGCCACACUGGGACUGAGACACGGCCCAGACUCCUACGGGAGGCAGCAGUGGGGAAUAUUGGACAAUGGGGGGAACCCUGAUCCAGCCAUGCCGCGUGUGUGAAGAAGGCCUUAUGGUUGUAAAGCACUUUAAGCGAGGAGGAGGCUCUCUUGGUUAAUACCCAAGAUGAGUGGACGUUACUCGCAGAAUAAGCACCGGCUAACUCUGUGCCAGCAGCCGCCGUAA
RNAcentral lists this ribosomal RNA (503 nucleotides) under uncultured bacterium. Its description in RNAcentral is "partial 16S ribosomal RNA". It matches the Rfam family "Bacterial small subunit ribosomal RNA", at positions 30 to 523 of the family's 1533-position model. The record is from RNAcentral.